RNAcentral lists this ribosomal RNA (319 nucleotides) under uncultured eukaryote. RNAcentral describes it as "partial 18S ribosomal RNA". It matches the Rfam family "Eukaryotic small subunit ribosomal RNA", at positions 1470 to 1796 of the family's 1831-position model. The record is from RNAcentral.
CCCUUAGAUGUCCUGGGCCGCACGCGUGCUACACUGACGCCUACAGCGAGUACUUCCCAGCCCCGAGAGGUGGCUGGUAAUCAGCAAUAGGCGUCGUGAUGGGGAUAGAUCUUUGGAAUUAUGGAUCUUGAACGAGGAAUGCCUAGUAAGCGCAGGUCAUUAGCCUGCGCUGAUUAAGUCCCUGCCCUUUGUACACACCGCCCGUCGCUCCUACCGAUUUCGAGUGGUCCGGUGAAUCUUUCGGACUGCGCGCGGCCUCGUGCCGUGUCGCGGAAAGUCAGGUAAACCUUAUCACUUAGAGGAGGGAGAAGUCGUAACA